This is a non-coding RNA of Sus scrofa (pig), 546 nucleotides long. The record is from RefSeq and is a predicted model, not a curated record. Lineage: Eukaryota; Metazoa; Chordata; Mammalia; Artiodactyla; Suidae.
GUUGCUAAGGAACCAAGGAGGGGUAGAUGUCACUUCCAUAACUCCUGGGCUCCGAGGUCCCUUGGCCUCCGGGCCUUCCCCAUUCACCAAGCCCUGGCUACCCUUGGCCCUGAAGUCCCAGGUACCUUCCUGGAUUGGUGUCGCCUGGGCCUGGGUUUGAAUCCUGCCCUGUACCUUCAACAUUCAGGUUUUAGGUUCCAUGCCAUCUGCUGGGCAAGGCCUUCAUGCCAGCCCACUCCUACCCCUGCUGACCUUCUCUUGCUGUCUCCCUGUCUGGCACGCCCGCCCUUGGGAUGCUGGGGGGCAGGUGUGGGGGGGUGUCCAAGGACAUUCGUCCUUGUGGAGCAGGCACUUUCUUGUCUCUUUCUCCCCAGCACAGGUCGGCUCCGAGAAGGUGCGCAGUGGAUGCUGUUGAAUGAGUUGGCAGUGGACCAAGGAAAGGAGGAGGGCCCAUCUCUGACAGUGAAACCUCCUUCCUCGGCACCACACCUGCCCCUACCUGGCUUUUCAUUUGUUAAUAAACCUUCAGCCCCUUGAUGGCAGGGA